CUCAGAAUUCAGGCCUGUCCUCGGAAUGUUACAAGGUACAGCCCAUUUAAGCUCCUGUAUAGACACUCCUUUUUAUUAGGCCCCAGUCUCAUUCGACACCAGACCAACUUAGACUGUGCCCCAAAAAAACUUGUCAUCCCUACUAUCUUUUGUCUAGUCAUACUCCUAUUCACUGUUCUCAACUACUCAUACAUGCCCUGCUCUUGUUUACACUGCCAGUUUACACUGUUUCUCCAAGCCAUCACAGCUGAUAUCUCCUGGUGUUAUCCCCAAACUGCCACUCUUAACUCUUGAAGUAAAUAAAUAAUCUUUGCUGGCAGGACUAUGCUGAAUCUCCUUAGGCACUCUCUAAUCAGGUAUCCUGAGUCGUCCCAAUUCUUAGACCUUUUAUACCUGUUUUUCUCCUUCUGUUAUUCCAUUUAGUUUUUCAAUUCAUCCAAAACUGUAUCCAGGCCAUCACCAAUCAUUCUAUACGACAAAUGUUUCUUCUAACAUCCCCACAAUAUCACCCCCACUGAGCACCUUGCGACCCCCACUCCUGCCCGCCAGAGAACAAACCCCCUUUGACUGUAAUUUUCGUUUACCUACCCAAAUCCUAUAAAAUGGCCCCACCUUUAUCUCCCUUCGCUGACUCUCUUUUCGGACUCAGCCCGCCAGCACCCAGAUGAAAUAAACAGCCAUGUUGCUCACACAAUGCCUGUUUGGUGGUCUCUUCACAGGGACGCGCAUGA
This 731-nucleotide long non-coding RNA is filed under the name Homo sapiens (human). RNAcentral describes it as "HSALNT0325455". The record is from RNAcentral. Lineage: Eukaryota; Metazoa; Chordata; Mammalia; Primates; Hominidae.